CGGUAGGUACUCGAGUGGCGAACGGGUGAGUAACACGUGGGUGAUCUGCCCUGCACUCUGGGAUAAGCCUGGGAAACUGGGUCUAAUACCGGAUAGGACCGCACUUUAGUGUGUGUGGUGGAAAGUUUUUUCGGUGUAGGAUGAGCCCGCGGCCUAUCAGCUUGUUGGUGGGGUAAUGGCCUACCAAGGCGGCGACGGGUAGCCGGACUGAGAGGUUGGUCGGCCACAUUGGGACUGAGAUACGGACCAG
Molecule: ribosomal RNA, 250 nt
Filed under: uncultured Actinomycetales bacterium
Lineage: Bacteria; Bacillati; Actinomycetota; Actinomycetes; Actinomycetales
Description: partial 16S ribosomal RNA
Rfam family: Bacterial small subunit ribosomal RNA
Source: RNAcentral